GAUGAACGCUAGCUACAGGCUUAACACAUGCAAGUCGAGGGGAAACGGCAUUUAGUGCUUGCACUGAAUGGACGUCGACCGGCGCACGGGUGAGUAACGCGUAUCCAACCUACCCAUUACUGUGGGAUAACCUGCCGAAAGGCAGACUAAUACCGCAUAGUCUUCGAUGACGGCAUCAGAUUUGAAGUAAAGAUUUAUCGGUAAUGGAUGGGGAUGCGUCUGAUUAGCUUGUUGGCGGGGUAACGGCCCACCAAGGCGACGAUCAGUAGGGGUUCUGAGAGGAAGGUCCCCCACAUUGGAACUGAGACACGGUCCAAACUCCUACGGGAGGCAGCAGUGAGGAAUAUUGGUCAAUGGGCGCGAGCCUGAACCAGCCAAGUAGCGUGCAGGAUGACGGCCCUAUGGGUUGUAAACUGCUUUUGUAUGGGGACAAAGUCAAUCACGUGUGAUUGUUUGCAGGUACCAUACGAAUAAGGACCGGCUAAUUCCGUGCCAGCAGCCGCGGUAAUACGGAAGGUCCGGGCGUUAUCCGGAUUUAUUGGGUUUAAAGGGAGCGUAGGCCGGAGAUUAAGUGUGUUGUGAAAUGUAGACGCUCAACGUCUGACUUGCAGCGCAUACUGGUUUCCUUGAGUACGCACAACGUUGGCGGAAUUCGUCGUGUAGCGGUGAAAUGCUUAGAUAUGACGAAGAACUCCGAUUGCGAAGGCAGCUGACGGGAGCGCAACUGACGCUUAAGCUCGAAGGUGCGGGUAUCGAACAGG
Molecule: ribosomal RNA, 761 nt
Filed under: Prevotella melaninogenica
Lineage: Bacteria; Pseudomonadati; Bacteroidota; Bacteroidia; Bacteroidales; Prevotellaceae
Description: bacterial SSU rRNA
Rfam family: Bacterial small subunit ribosomal RNA
Source: RNAcentral